Molecule: ribosomal RNA, 460 nt
Filed under: uncultured bacterium
Lineage: Bacteria
Description: partial 16S ribosomal RNA
Rfam family: Bacterial small subunit ribosomal RNA
Source: RNAcentral
CCUACGGGAGGCAGCAGUGAGGAAUCUUGCUCAAUGGGCGAGAGCCUGAACCAGCCAAGUCGCGUGAAGGAUGAAGGAUCUAUGGUUUGUAAACUUCUUUUAUAUGGGAAUAAAAUGUUCUACGUGAGGGAUUUUGUAUGUCCCAUAUGAAUACGGAUCGGCUAACUCCGUGAGAGCAGCCGCGGUAAUACGGAGGAUCCGAGCGUUAUCGGGUUGUAUUGGGUUAAAAGUGAUGGUGGGUGGAUUGUUAAGACAGUUGUGAAUGUUUGCGGCUCAACCGUAAGAUUGCAGGUUAAACUGGCAGUCUUGAGUACGUUAGAGGUGAGCGGAAUUCGUGGUGUAGCGGUGAAAUGCUUAGAUAUCACGAAGAACUCCGAUUGUGUAGGCAGUUCACUGGACUGCAACUGACACUGAGGCUCGAAAGUGUGGGUAUCAAACAGGAUUAGAUACCCUUGUAGUC